GUUUAAAACCUUUCUGCUCUACUGGAUUUAUUGACGGUAAACAGAGCACAUUAUCUGAAGAAAGAAGUGCAAAAGUACAGUACAUGUACCCUCUGUUCAGCAGGCCAACAGACCGAAUGACAUGGACUAAAACGUGAUGUGAUACAUACCCCCAUCACAUGAGUUCAUCACAGUAGACUGAAUUGUCGAGGAAUGAAUUGUUUAUAGAAUGCUUGCUAGUCCUUCCUUCUUGGCAGCCGGCCUGUUCCCAGGGAAUGCAGUGCGGGAUAC
Molecule: long non-coding RNA, 270 nt
Filed under: Triticum aestivum (bread wheat)
Lineage: Eukaryota; Viridiplantae; Streptophyta; Magnoliopsida; Poales; Poaceae
Description: long non-coding RNA (TAES_LNC009112)
Source: RNAcentral